AGUUGAUCAUGGCUCAGGAUGAACGCUAGCGGCAGGCUUAACACAUGCAAGUCGAGGGGCAGCGGGAUGUAGCAAUACAUUGCCGGCGACCGGCGGAUGGGUGCGUAACGCGUAUGCAACCUACCUUAUACAGGGGAAUAACCUUUCGAAAGGGAGACUAACACCCCAUGGUAUUGAUUUAAGGCAUCUUAGAUUAAUUAAAUAUUUAUAGGUAUAAGAUGGGCAUGCGUAUGAUUAGCUAGUUGGUAAGGUAACGGCUUACCAAGGCGACGAUCAUUAGGGGUUCUGAGAGGAAGGUCCCCCACACUGGUACUGAGACACGGACCAGACUCCUACGGGAGGCAGCAGUGAGGAAUAUUGGUCAAUGGGCGCAAGCCUGAACCAGCCAUGCCGCGUGCAGGAAAGACGGCCUUAUGGGUUGUAAACUGCUUUUACAUAAGACUAACCGUAUAUUUGCGAAUAUACCUGAAUGUAUUAUGAGAAUAAGGAUCGGCUAACUCCGUGCCAGCAGCCGC
Molecule: ribosomal RNA, 515 nt
Filed under: uncultured bacterium
Lineage: Bacteria
Description: bacterial SSU rRNA
Rfam family: Bacterial small subunit ribosomal RNA
Source: RNAcentral